This 253-nucleotide ribosomal RNA is filed under the name uncultured bacterium. RNAcentral's name for it is "partial 16S ribosomal RNA". It matches the Rfam family "Bacterial small subunit ribosomal RNA", at positions 524 to 776 of the family's 1533-position model. The record is from RNAcentral.
UACAGAGGUGGCAAGCGUUGUUCGGAAUUACUGGGCGUAAAGCGUGCGCAGGCGGCUUUGCAAGACAGAUGUGAAAUCCCCGGGCUCAACCUGGGAACUGCAUUUGUGACUGCAAGGCUAGAGUACGGUAGAGGGGGAUGGAAUUCCGCGUGUAGCAGUGAAAUGCGUAGAUAUGCGGAGGAACACCGAUGGCGAAGGCAAUCCCCUGGACCUGUACUGACGCUCAUGCACGAAAGCGUGGGGAGCAAACAGG